ACUCCUACGGGAGGCAGCAGUGGGAAUAUUGGACAAUGGGACCGGUAGCAUCAGCCAUGCCGCGCUGUGUGAAGAAGGCCUUAUGGUUGUAAAGCACUUUAAGCGAGGAGGAGGCUACUGAGACUAAUACUCUUGGAUAGUGGACGUUACUCGCAGAAUAAGCACCGGCUAACUCUGUGCCAGCAGCCGCGGUAAUACAGAGGGUGCGAGCGUUAAUCGGAUUUACU
This 227-nucleotide ribosomal RNA is filed under the name uncultured bacterium. RNAcentral's name for it is "partial 16S ribosomal RNA". It matches the Rfam family "Bacterial small subunit ribosomal RNA", at positions 335 to 555 of the family's 1533-position model. The record is from RNAcentral.